CAUGGCAGUGUUUGUAAUGUUUUUUUAUUGAUUUAAAGUAUUUUUAUGUAUAAUAAAAAAAAUAUUAGCAUUCUGCACUCCUUCUCUAUAUUCUCUAUAAGUGUGGGAAAUUUUAAACUCUGUUCGCGCAAUUUUCGUAAAAAGGGGUACAUAUAAAGUUUUUGCUUCACGCAUUAUUAUAUGGAUAAGCUAUCAAAGCCGCGUGACUUAUAUUCAAGCAAACGGACCAUAUCUUUUCAAUUCUAUUACAGUUUACAAACCAAAUAGCUUCCUUUUUUUUGGUCACGGACGACACAAAUUGACGGUUUCUUAGGACUGUCUAAGGUUUGGUCACACACAUUUAGGUCAACCAUUGAUCUUCAUACAAACGCCAGCGAAAAUGCAUUCAAAUAAAUAACAUUUAAAAAAAAAACUAAAACCAGGCUUUUGUAGAAAAUCCAAAUAAAAAUUGAAAAAAUAAUUUAUUGUAAAAUAAGCGUGGUGUGCAUGAUGACAAUAGUUAUUAAUUAAUAUUUUAUUUACAGAUACAGGUAUGAGAAGGAUAAUCAUUUUAAUAAUAUCUUGAAAAGCACCCCACACUUUUUUUACAAUAAAUCUAUUUUCUAUUUUUUUAUUGGAUUUUCUAUAAAAGCGUGUUUUUAAGCAUAGCUUUUAUCGCGGGCUUUGAGCGCGGCGACUGAAUCAAGAAAUUCCGUAACGAAAAUAACCUGACACCCCCACUACGCCUACUAUGUAGCUCGCGUUCAACACAUUCACAUGUUGCGCUGGUGUAGUGUUUGUGAAUAAGCGCGCGGCGUGACGUCGCACUGCAUGAGCAUCAUGAAAAGUCUGCCCAUCUCUCUCUCACGCGGUCUAGCUUAUGAGUGUGAAGGGGACAGUUAUUUUUUUGCUUUUGUUAAUGUUUUUAAAUAUAGCGUGGUCUUAUUUUUUAUUAUUGUUUUAAUAUUAAAUUAUUAUUGUCUAAUUGUAAUUGCAUAAGUUAAUAAAAAAUGCUUUGCAAUAGCUUUACCGCGGCAGUCCCCGAGUGCCA
Bombyx mori (domestic silkworm) is the source of this 1030-nucleotide long non-coding RNA. RefSeq lists it as uncharacterized. The transcript has 2 exons. NCBI's taxonomy places the organism in Eukaryota, Metazoa, Arthropoda, Insecta, Lepidoptera, Bombycidae. The record is from RefSeq and is a predicted model, not a curated record.